CCAGACAGCCAGGAUGUUGGCUUAGAAGCAGCCAUCAUUUAAAGAAAGCGUAAUAGCUCACUGGUCGAGUCGGCCUGCGCGGAAGAUGUAACGGGGCUAAACCAUGCACCGAAGCUGCGGCAGCGACGCUAUGCGUUGUUGGGUAGGGGAGCGUUCUGUAAGCCGUUGAAGGUGGCCUGUGAGGGUUACUGGAGGUAUCAGAAGUGCGAAUGCUGACAUAAGUAACGAUAAAGCGGGUGAAAAGCCCGCUCGCCGGAAGACCAAGGGUUCCUGUCCAACGUUAAUCGGGGCAGGGUGAGUCGACCCCUAAGGCGAGGCCGAAAGGCGUAGUCGAUGGGAAACGGGUUAAUAUUCCCGUACUUGGUGUUACUGCGAAGGGGGGACGGAGAAGGCUAUGUUGGCCGGGCGACGGUUGUCCCGGUUUAAGCGUGUAGGUGUGUGUUCCAGGUAAAUCCGGUUCACUUUAACACUGAGGCGUGAUGACGAGGCACUACGGUGCUGAAGCAACAAAUGCCCUGCUUCCAGGAAAAGCCUCUAAGCAUCAGGUAACAUCAAAUCGUACCCCAAACCGACACAGGUGGUCAGGUAGAGAAUACCAAGGCGCUUGA
Molecule: ribosomal RNA, 608 nt
Filed under: Salmonella enterica subsp. enterica serovar Paratyphi B var. L(+) tartrate +
Lineage: Bacteria; Pseudomonadati; Pseudomonadota; Gammaproteobacteria; Enterobacterales; Enterobacteriaceae
Description: partial 23S ribosomal RNA
Rfam family: Bacterial large subunit ribosomal RNA
Source: RNAcentral